This 421-nucleotide ribosomal RNA is filed under the name uncultured cyanobacterium. RNAcentral describes it as "bacterial SSU rRNA". It matches the Rfam family "Bacterial small subunit ribosomal RNA", at positions 359 to 795 of the family's 1533-position model. The record is from RNAcentral. Lineage: Bacteria; Bacillati; Cyanobacteriota.
GAAUUUUCCGCAAUGGGCGAAAGCCUGACGGAGCAACGCCGCGUGAGGGAUGAAGGCCUCUGGGCUGUAAACCUCUUUUCUCAAGGAAGAAGACCUGACGGUACUUGAGGAAUAAGCCACGGCUAAUUCCGUGCCAGCANCCGCGGUAAUACGGGAGUGGCAAGCGUUAUCCGGAAUUAUUGGGCGUAAAGCGUCCGCAGGCGGCCUUGUAAGUCUGUUGUUAAAGCGUGGAGCUCAACUCCNUUUGAGCAAUGGAAACUACAAGGCUUGAGUGUGGUAGGGGCAGAGGGAAUUCCCGGUGUAGCGGUGAAAUGCGUAGAUAUCGGGAAGAACACCAGUGGCGAANGCGCUCUGCUGGGCCAUAACUGACGCUCAUGGACGAAAGCCAGGGGAGCGAAAGGGAUUAGAUACCCCUGUAGUC